AACCUUGAUCUUGAAGGCAUAGAGUUACAAUAUGGUGAAAUAUCCAAUCCCUGAUCAGAUUUUCUAUUAUGGUGACCAAGUUGUGGAAGCCUAAAUCCAAUUCAGAAAAAAAAAAAUCAUUUCAUUAGUCAAAGCUAAACAAGGAACAAAGUCUUAAUCUUAAUUAGUUUAAAGGUUAAAUUAAUACCUUGAAUCCACAGAAGGCCUGGCCAGUAUAGAGUAGUUUUGCUGGUAUGGAGGAUCAGACACAUUUGUCAUUCUAGGGGCUUGGCGAUGUUGUAGUUGUGUUUGAUUUAUCAAGUAGUC
Molecule: long non-coding RNA, 306 nt
Filed under: Manihot esculenta (cassava)
Lineage: Eukaryota; Viridiplantae; Streptophyta; Magnoliopsida; Malpighiales; Euphorbiaceae
Description: long non-coding RNA (MESC_LNC000928)
Source: RNAcentral